GAUGAACGCUGGCGGCGUGCCUAAUACAUGCAAGUCGAGCGAACGGACGAGAAGCUUGCUUCUCUGAUGUUAGCGGCGGACGGGUGAGUAACACGUGGAUAACCUACCUAUAAGACUGGGAUAACUUCGGGAAACCGGAGCUAAUACCGGAUAAUAUUUUGAACCGCAUGGUUCAAAAGUGAAAGACGGUCUUGCUGUCACUUAUAGAUGGAUCCGCGCUGCAUUAGCUAGUUGGUAAGGUAACGGCUUACCAAGGCAACGAUGCAUAGCCGACCUGAGAGGGUGAUCGGCCACACUGGAACUGAGACACGGUCCAGACUCCUACGGGAGGCAGCAGUAGGGAAUCUUCCGCAAUGGGCGAAAGCCUGACGGAGCAACGCCGCGUGAGUGAUGAAGGUCUUCGGAUCGUAAAACUCUGUUAUUAGGGAAGAACAUAUGUGUAAGUAACUGUGCACAUCUUGACGGUACCUAAUCAGAAAGCCACGGCUAACUACGUGCCGGCAGCCGCGGUAAUACGUAGGUGGCAAGCGUUAUCCGGAAUUAUUGGGCGUAAAGCGCGCGUAGGCGGUUUUUUAAGUCUGAUGUGAAAGCCCACGGCUCAACCGUGGAGGGUCAUUGGAAACUGGAAAACUUGAGUGCAGAAGAGGAAAGUGGAAUUCCAUGUGUAGCGGUGAAAUGCGCAGAGAUAUGGAGGAACACCAGUGGCGAAGGCGACUUUCUGGUCUGUAACUGACGCUGAUGUGCGAAAGCGUGGGGAUCAAACAGGAUUAGAUACCCUGGUAGUCCACGCCGUAAACGAUGAGUGCUAAGUGUUAGGGGGUUUCCGCCCCUUAGUGCUGCAGCUAACGCAUUAAGCACUCCGCCUGGGGAGUACGACCGCAAGGUUGAAACUCAAAGGAAUUGACGGGGACCCGCACAAGCGGUGGAGCAUGUGGUUUAAUUCGAAGCAACGCGAAGAACCUUACCAAAUCUUGACAUCCUUUGACAACUCUAGAGAUAGAGCCUUCCCCUUCGGGGGACAAAGUGACAGGUGGUGCAUGGUUGCCGUCAGCUCGUGUCGUGAGAUGUUGGGUUAAGUCCCGCAACGAGCGCAACCCUUAAGCUUAGUUGCCAUCAUUAAGUUGGGCACUCUAAGUUGACUGCCGGUGACAAACCGGAGGAAGGUGGGGAUGACGUCAAAUCAUCAUGCCCCUUAUGAUUUGGGCUACACACGUGCUACAAUGGACAAUACAAAGGGCAGCGAAACCGCGAGGUCAAGCAAAUCCCAUAAAGUUGUUCUCAGUUCGGAUUGUAGUCUGCAACUCGACUACAUGAAGCUGGAAUCGCUAGUAAUCGUAGAUCAGCAUGCUACGGUGAAUACGUUCCCGGGUCU
Molecule: ribosomal RNA, 1372 nt
Filed under: uncultured bacterium
Lineage: Bacteria
Description: bacterial SSU rRNA
Rfam family: Bacterial small subunit ribosomal RNA
Source: RNAcentral